UUUGUUUGGUGGUGUCUUUUUAAGAUGUAAGCCUUUUUUGUGUUUGUACACAAAUUUUAAGAUGCAGGCGUUUGUUUUUGUAUUUAAAGUCGUUUUUUUAAUUGCAGUUGUCCAAAGUAUACAUCAUCUACCAGCGAUCUCCCACCCUGGUCCUGGAAAGCCCCUAUCCUGCAGGUUUGUCUGCUCUGCAGCUGUGAGCUGCUCAGAGGGAGUGGGACUGAGCACGCCUCUGUGAAGAGUGUUCAUUCACUGAGCUGCUCGGAGAGGCUCGCUUACUCAACACGCCCAGGGUCUUCGGUUCAACGUUUUCAGGGCCCGUGAAGUCAUGCUUUUUUCCGGUGUUGCUGUGUUUCUGAAAGAUCUUGGUGGAUUUCCUGUGCUUUAUUACGCUGGGAGCUUUGAUUUUGUAAUUGACAGCCCGUGGUGGAUGUGACUGGCAGGUGCUAGACUUUUUUUUUUUCUGGGCUGGGUGUGGAGAUUCAGACAGAUUCAAACUUCUUACAGACCAUAACAAGCUAACAGCAUGCAAAGUGCACAGCUUUAAUGUUGCCGGUGGUAACAGAGGUUCAAGGUUAUGCUGCUAUUGUUAAAUAUUUACUCUGUCAUGCGAUCGUUCAGUCCAGUUUAUGAAAUCAAUGUCUUGUUCAUUAUGCUGUUCAUUAUUUUUUUCUGUGAUUUUCUUUCAUGGCUUUUUAUUCGGGCAGCAGUGUGGAGUAGUGGUUAGGGAUCUGGACUCUUGACCGGAAGGGCGUGGGUUCAGUCCCAGAUGGGGGACACUGCUGCUGUACCCUUGAGCAAGGUACUUUACCUAGAUUGCUCCAGUAAAAACCCAACUGUAUAAAUGGGUAAUUGUAUGUAAAAAUAAUGUGUAUCUUGUAACAAAUUGUAAGUCGCCCUGGAUAAGGGUGUCUGCCAAGAAAUAAAUAAUAAUAUUGUCAAAACAGAGGUAUAUUUACCAUUAAUUAUACAGAAUUUUUUGGCAAAGAAACUGGAAACAGACAAUUUCUCUAAAAAGAAAAAAACUAUUUGCGACGAACAAGACAAAAUGAGUCCACAGCAAAAGUAAAAAAAUGUACAAGAGCCAAUGUAUUGCAUAUGAUAAAGAUUGGCGUGCUAUGUGUUAUGUUCUGCUUUUGUGUUUGUCCAGGCACUGCCAAUGAAAAUUAGUUCCUAGCUCAAUCUGGGUGCAAUGUAUCUUAUGACAUGCCAAAAAUGUUAAAAACUGUACGGUGUUCCCCUCAAAUAAAUAUAUCACUAAAUAAAUCAAACGAAGGUUGCAACAUCUGCAAAUCUAAAUGUGAAGGAUAUUGUAGCGAUCUUGGUUCCCGCAGGCAGCCGCAUCACACACGGGGAGGCAAUCCACACACAGGCGUGAACCCGGGUCCUCUCGCGCUAAAGCAUAGCGCCGAUACCACUGUACAAAAGAGCCGGCUCCUUUGCAAGGAGCGUAUAUCGGGCUUAUGUCUUUGUGUGUGAUUACGUCACCUACCAGCCCUGCUGGUGCCUUCCCCCGUGCACGCUACAAUAUUAUCACUGCUAAAUGUUUUUUUUUCCCCCAAACUUUGUCUCCUCCGGGGCUCUCUGAGUGUUUGGGCACCUGUGCAGCUGCCCUGACUGCCCCCAUUAUUCCGCCACCACUGGCUGAGUCACAACAAAGAACACGGUGCAGUCAGACUUCUGACAGAUUUCUGAAACGAAAAAAUAAACGCCUUUAAAACAGUUAGUUAAAAAACCACACUCCGUGUUUAUCAGCAAACAUUCCUUCUCAAAGUUUACUGCUUUGGUAUCCCCCUGGUAAAAGCACAGCACAGUGUAGUAAAGCACAGAAAAGAUAAUGAACCAGCCCCCUUCUAAAAGCACAGAGAAGAUAAUGAACCAGCCCCCUGCUCAAAGCACAGUGAAGAUAAUGAACCAGCCCCCUUCUCAAAGCACAGAGAAAAUAAUGAACCAGCCCCCUUCUCAAAGUUUACUGAUUUGGUAUCCCCCUGGUAAAAGCACAGCACAGUGUAGUAAAGCACAGAGAAGAUAAUGAACCAGACCCCUUCUCAAGUGCCCAGUUUUCAGGGGUUUGCCCAUAAUCAAUCAAUCACUCUCUCUAUCUAAGAAAAAGAAAAAGAAAAAAAAAAAAAAAAAAAAAAAAAAAAAGAGAAAAGGAUAUUUCAGAUAGUUAAAAAGGUAGAAUAACUGAUUAUCAGGACAUUUCAGACUACACAGUCCU
Long non-coding RNA from Acipenser ruthenus (sterlet), 2218 nucleotides. RefSeq lists it as uncharacterized. The record is from RefSeq and is a predicted model, not a curated record. The transcript has 3 exons. Lineage: Eukaryota; Metazoa; Chordata; Actinopteri; Acipenseriformes; Acipenseridae.